This is a non-coding RNA of Vicia faba (fava bean), 273 nucleotides long. Lineage: Eukaryota; Viridiplantae; Streptophyta; Magnoliopsida; Fabales; Fabaceae. The record is from the annotation of a GenBank genome assembly.
AUGGCCCUCAUCACCGCACAGAAACGACGCAACCACGUGUCAGCAUCAAUAAUCUUCAUCCAACAACAACGUUGGCACAAUGAUUGGCAAUGCAUAGAGCACAAGGAAACGAGUGAGUGGCGGAGAGUAUCGAUGUUGAGGAGAUUAGUGAAACAAAGGCUACAGAGGCGAGCGGCUAGCCACGAAGACAAACAAAUUCAGAGCGAGGUGAAGAGGUUGUGUCCGCUACGGAAGGAGGAAGACGAAGGCCGAUUGAAGCGGCGGUGGAGGUGA